CACAAUCUGAUGGACAAACAAAAGUUGUCAAUCGUUGUCUGGAAACGUAUCUACACUGCUUUGCUUCUGGAAAACCUCGAAGUUGGGCUCGCUGGUUGGCAUGGGCUGAGUAUUGGUAUAAUACUUCCUUCCACUCUUCUACACGUUGUACUCCAUUUCGUGCUCUCUAUGGAAGGGAUCCACCCCCUCUUAUUCGGUAUGAGCAAGGAGCUGCUUCGGUAUCUUUGGUGGAACAAUUAAUGGAGGAUCGUGAUGCCAUACUGGACGAUCUGAGGAUGCAGUUGCUUCGUGCCCAGCAGCGGAUGAAGCUGCAAGCUGAUCAAAAGCGCCAUCAUGUAGAGUUCAAUGCAGGUGAUUUGUUAUUUCUGAAACUAAGACCUUACCGGCAGCGCUCCCUCGCUCAACGUAAGUUUGAGAAAUUAGCUGCACGUUACUACGGUCCAUUUAAGGUUCUUCAGCGUAUCGGGAAGGUGGCAUACAAACUAGAACCGCCUCAAACAGCAAAACUCACCAUGUCUUUCAUGUUUCGCAGUUGAGGGCAGCACUUGGUGUGUCAUCCUUUUCCCCCACUAUCCCCCCACAGUUGACUCCUGAGCUUGAACUCGUGGUGGAACCUGAAAAAUUGUUGGGAGUUCGUCCUAAGGUUAAUGGUCAAUCCGGUGAAGUGGAGGUGCUGCUCAAAUGGAAAUCCUUGCCUGAGUUUGAGGCAACUUGGGAGGAUUUUCAUCUUAUCCAACAACAAUUUCCCGAUUUCCACCUUGAGGACAAGGUGAAAGUUUGGGCGGAUGGUAAUGUUAAGCCACAAGUGUGUUUCACAUAUGCA
Molecule: long non-coding RNA, 823 nt
Filed under: Citrus maxima (pomelo)
Lineage: Eukaryota; Viridiplantae; Streptophyta; Magnoliopsida; Sapindales; Rutaceae
Description: long non-coding RNA (CMAX_LNC000901)
Source: RNAcentral